GCCCGUGUAGCUCAGCUGGCAGAGCAGCCGCCUUGUAAGCGGCAGGUCGUCGGUUCGAUGCCGACUGCGGGCACCA
This 76-nucleotide transfer RNA is filed under the name Povalibacter uvarum. RNAcentral's name for it is "tRNA-Thr". It matches the Rfam family "tRNA". Rfam says of the family: Transfer RNA (tRNA) molecules are approximately 80 nucleotides in length. The record is from RNAcentral. Lineage: Bacteria; Pseudomonadati; Pseudomonadota; Gammaproteobacteria; Steroidobacterales; Steroidobacteraceae.